GACAGUGCUUAGAGAAACACUAAUUCUGUGACUCUGCUGGAGACCUGGGUGUUUGGUCUGCAGACAGCUUGAUCAACAACGGACACUUGCAAACCUCAGAGGCUAUCAAACCACCAUCACAACCUGUGGCUCCAGCUUGCUCCCUCCUUCAGCCAAGGAAUUGCUCUAUUGCUCAGAGCGAUUGCAGUGUGGCAUCACUGCUCGCCCUUAGCCUGUGCCACUUGUUAAAGACUGAGAACAUGGGAAUAUGGGUUGUUUUCUGCCAACAGAGGGUGGAAAGGAAAGAUGAGCCACUUCAAGCAAAGGUCCUGCUGAGACUGUGCAAAGAGUCAGGUUGUUUUGGAGGCAGGAGAAAAACAACUGCUCCUUCCUUCCUCUUGGAAAUGAUUUUGCCUUGGCCCAGCCUUUACAAAAUGGAAUUAGAAAGCCCUGCUGAGCAUUGGGAGCUGGCGGGAGCCAUCAUCCAGCCAAUUCAUCAUAACAGGAGCUCAGUAUCUAAUAAGCAGGUAAUAAAUGCGCUAAGUGUCCACCUUUAACUUGCCUGUGUGCCUCCCCACAGAGGCAGACCCCGGGCUGCAGCUGCUGACGAGGAGACGUCACCAUGCCUGAUAAGCAGAUGAUGUCAGGCCUGCUGGAACGAUAGC
Molecule: long non-coding RNA, 644 nt
Filed under: Dromaius novaehollandiae (emu)
Lineage: Eukaryota; Metazoa; Chordata; Aves; Casuariiformes; Dromaiidae
Description: lncRNA (ENSDNVG00000001237.1)
Source: RNAcentral